AACAAACGCUGGCGGCGUGCCUAACACAUGCAAGUCGUACGAGAAAUCCUGAGCAAUCGGGAGAGUAAAGUGGCGCACGGGUGAGUAACGCGUGGGUAACCUACCCUUAAAUUUGGGAUAACUUCGCGAAAGCGGGGUUAAUACCGGAUAAUAUUCCGACUUCUUCGGGAGUUAGAAUCAAAGGUGGCCUCUGCAUGCAAGCUAUCGUUUAAGGAUGGGCCCGCGUACCAUUAGCUUGUUGGUAGGGUAAUGGCCUACCAAGGCGACGAUGGUUAGCUGGUCUGAGAGGAUGGUCAGCCACACUGGAACUGAGACACGGUCCAGACUCCUACGGGAGGCUG
Molecule: ribosomal RNA, 341 nt
Filed under: uncultured Pseudomonadota bacterium
Lineage: Bacteria; Pseudomonadati; Pseudomonadota
Description: bacterial SSU rRNA
Rfam family: Bacterial small subunit ribosomal RNA
Source: RNAcentral